This is a long non-coding RNA of Musa acuminata AAA Group (dessert banana), 8997 nucleotides long. RefSeq lists it as uncharacterized. The transcript has 6 exons. The record is from RefSeq and is a predicted model, not a curated record. Lineage: Eukaryota; Viridiplantae; Streptophyta; Magnoliopsida; Zingiberales; Musaceae.
GUCAAUUUCAAAAGAAACCCUCGCUUUUUCCCCCUUCUCGUUGGAAUCCUCGCCAUCUUCCUGAAACCCCAAGCUUCGAUCUUGCCGUCAGCCGAUCGACUCGGCUCAAGGUAUUUCGUUCCUGCAUCAGCGGCAAGGAUGGGGGCCGAGGGGAAGUGAUGGAGCAUGCGAUUCUUGGGAUUUGCCUCAGGUCAGUUCAAUGGCAUAUGAUCUUGCACCCUGCUGCCAAUUUAAUCAGUUUUGAUGUUUGCUAGAUUGCUGGAGCAAUUUAUUUAUGGUUGCAGAUGAACUCAGAAACUAUGGUGAAAGAUUACAAAGUAUCUACGUGAGUUAUUUCAUUUUGUUUCUUAGGAGAAUUCGAUGAGUUUACAGAUAUUACCUCAACCCAAGAAUGGUAUCUUUUAACUGAAUUCUGAAACGGUACUCCCAAAGUUUGCAAACUUAUAUCUAGAUGAUUCUUCCAUGGAAUUAUUUGCUAUAUGAUAAGAAACUGCGAGGUCCACUUUAAGCCAAAGAGGCAUUCAUAAAAAGAAUAAUAUAUUUAGAGAAAAUGGCUUAUUCAUAAAACCAUCAAAUAUCAGAUUGUUAUUGGUUGAUUAGGAGGUACAAAUAAGAAUCAUAAUAUUGAUUCUUGAUACAAAUUAUGUUGCCUCCUACCACACUCAGCAAUCAAGUUGAGGUUGGUCGGGCAGAUAAUGGUAAUACAAGAGCAACCUCUUUAGGUUGAGUGAAGCAAGUGAACAAUACAAAUAGGCUAGAGAAAACUAGUUUGCUUCAAGUCAAGGGCAUUUUGGGCCCCCUCUCUUCGUUUUCCAGUUGUUGUAGCAAGGACACUCUCCUUUGUUGCCAUAGAAACCUGAGGGUACACAGAGGCACUUAAUGCAACACUUCUGGCAGAAGAACAUGCAUGGCUUGUGGUAUUGUGUCUUUGAGCACCUCCUUGAGCAUUGGGAUGGGCAUUCUGAUCAUGGAAAUACAAUGCAUAAAUGUUAGAAAAGAAAUUACAUUCAUAGUUCAGAAUAGAUUUUUCCAUUAGCCUAAUUAUACAAGAACAGAUCACUUCCAAGUAUUUUUCUUAGUAGUUCUUAGGUCAUUCUGAAAUGUUUUGUCUCAGAAUCUCUUUUCUGUUGUUUUAAAUCUCUAUAACUAUUGUUGCUCAAUUACUCAUAAUAAGACCACCAUUUUUGAGACUUGUUUGGAUGAAAAUGAAAAAUGAGAAACUUACGGUAGGUUUGCAGGGUGCCUCGUCCGUUUGAAGUCUGAAAAAGUGCAUAUUAGUAAGAAAAUCAGAAAAAAAGAAGAAUUGCUACUUUAAACCACUCUAUUUAGGAAGUAUUUACAAAGCAGGAAGAUGUAAAUAAUUGUACCAGUAUGUACUCCCCUUCAGAAUGCUUAAUUUCUUUGGCCAGCACCUGGAAUGCAAAGAAAUAACAUAGAAGCUAAGAGCAAGCAUACUUAUUUACAUUGUAAAAUGGACUUGGUAAUGUUAUGUGUAGAUUGGUAGUAUUGGUAUCACUGGCUUUCAGAGAAGAGAUCCUGACCUUGUAACCAGAGUCAGCCAUGGAAAUGGCUAGGAGGGCAAUGGCCAGCAGAACAACAAGCUUAGCCAUGGCUAUUGUUCUUCCCAAGUCUAAACAGUACAACAGACAAAUGAGCUAAGGAGAUGUAGUGGAAUGUUGGAGAGGCCGCCAUAUUUAUAGCUUAGAUGGGGCAGACAAAAGUCCAUAAAGAGGGAUAAAAUAUGCCUCCUUGUGUACCCCUUGGGGAUGAAGCUUACACUCUUGACCUUGGUACCUAAAGUGUGGCCUUUGUACCAUUGAGGCAAUCACAAAUCAAUAUGCAUUCAGUUAAUACAUAAUAGCUGGUAGAUUCUAUCUUUGUAAACAGGCAAGCAUACUCUAUUAUGUAACUUUGGAGAAACCUAACUAAAAGUUUAAGUUUACUUCUGACAAAUUAGCAGAACAAAUGGAAUCAACAAAAUAUUGCAAGAUUUGAUCACUGGUAGUUCACAGUACAAAUUAGAGCAACAAAAAUAUUAGAUUAGGGAGAAAUUAUAGUUGGACCCUAGCACAAAGUGGCACCUUAAAAAUUGUAGGAAGAUUGGGUGGUUUUUGGGAGGCCAUCAAUUAAAGUGAGGAGCAUGUGCUGGUCUCAGUCCAUCAUGUGAUGCAAGGACAAACUUGUGGACACCCAUGACAUUCUUUGCUAUCAAAUCUAACCAAAAGUUCAUUUUAUUUCUGUGGCAAAUUAGCAGAACAAAUGUUAAUCUUUAAAACCUUGCAAAAUGUUAUCAUUACUAGUUCAUACAUAGUACAAAUCAGACCUACAAGAAUACUAGUUUAGAGGGGAGUUAUAGUUGGACCCAAAAACAAAGUGGUGCCUUGUGAAUUGUAGGAAGAUUGGAUGUCCUUUGGGAAGCCAUGCAAUUAGUGGUGAGGAGCAUGUGCUGGUCUGAGUCCAUCAUGUGAUGCAAGGACAAGCAUGGGACACCCAUGACAUUCUUUGCUAUCACAUUAUGAUGGGUGGAACCUACAAGUACCUCUUCUGUGAAUGAACCCAACCCCACCCAUGUUCUUCCCUUUGUAGUUGUCAAGAAAGAGACACAUCUCGCAGAAGGUCAUGGCCUCACUGACAAAUUGGCCACAAGGUGCACAACUGCCUCAUCCAAAUCUCAUCCCUUUGAAUUCUUUAGACAUUGAACCCUUUAAGUGUGGGCUCGCUUCCACAUGCAUAUCAGUUAAGCUAUUGUCUUUAUCAUAGAUUUGAUUUUUUUUUUUUAAAUGUCAGAUUCUACUUGAAGUUAGACCUAUAUCAUCAACAAAUUGACAUGAAGUCAUUUUAGGUCAUGACAUCCAUAUACAAAGCUAAUCAACAUACUGAUUGCUUAAUAAAUUGCAAUCUUUUUCUAAUUCCUCUGCAUAAUGGGUUAAUUAUAGCCAAGGGUUUUGUUUCAUUUUAAUAUUUAUGACAUUUUAAGUGUAUUGUUCAUGUAAUUUGUUCAUUAUUUUCUUUCCAUAAAACAAAUAGAAAAUUUAGAUAUAGUGUUCUUCUAGGUACAUGCACCUACAAUGCACGUAAUAUUGGAUGGUGGAUUUUGAUUGUGUCCCGCAAUGACAAUGUUUUCUCAGCUGCCAAAAUAAAAUUUACGUAAGUUUAUUGCUUACAUUGACUCGCUUCAGUGAUAAUGUUUUGUUAGCCACCUGAAUGAUCUUUUACCUGAGGGUAUUGCCUUGCAUCGACUCUCUUCAGACCUGUACUGGUAGGAGUCUUGUGCACUGGACCAAUCUUAGUAUAGACAAGUUCAUUAGUGCUUUGUAGUGGAGGAUCGACAUCAAUGGGACUAAGUAAUAGCAGAUCUUCUAGGGUUAUUGAGAUCUUAAACAAGAGAACAUAUACUCAAUUCCCAGGAGAUGGACAUUUCUCAGAACAAUGCAAUCAUGGUCUUGGAGAAAGUGGCAGGUUAAAUUCUAAAAUGAAACAUAUUGGUAGCUUGGGACAGAGGUCAGAGUCACCCAUGUGAGAGCAUUCACAAAAAUCCAACGUUUGUUGCCAACUCCUUUCAAUGAAGGCUUUUAAUUUUUGGUUCAGUGGGGAUCUGCUAACCUCUGUAACCUCCACAUGCAUCAACAACAUGCUCACUUUGCAGGUUUCAGAUUCUUGCCUUAUCUUAGCCUUUCUAUUGUUGCUCUUCUCUCGAUGCAUCUUUUACAAAGAUCUAAAGUAGUAGUUAUUUUUACUAUUUGAACUAGUAGUAUCAUAUGUUCCUGUAUCAUAAGAUGCUGAUGAUCUUGUAUGUCAUUAAACUAAUUAUCAAAUAUGAGUAAAAUAUAUUGUGGUAUGAUUCUUUAAUUCUUUAGUGAAAUGGGCAUGGUAAACUUCAUCCUAAAUGUUCUCUUAAAAAUUGUACCAUAUGUGUAUGUUGUAGGCUUGUAGCUACACUAUUCCUGAUUAUUUUUUGUGUGAAGAGAUUGUUUUAGUAAGUGUCUGCUACUAAGAAACUUUUAACAGCAGGAUGUAGGAAAAGAAGGUAAUGUGUGGCAUGCUAGGAUCAUUUGUUAACCAAUUUCUAGUGAGUUAAUAAAAGCAUAGAUGUUAUAUAGAUUACGACACCUACUUCAUGUUUUAUAUUUAGUGAGUAAAAACAUAAAGUUUGUGUCAGUCCAGACACCAAGUUUGUUAAUGUGUUUGAAGGCUGAAACCCAGAAGAAUAUAUAUUAAAUGGAAACUGUAAGUAGAAACUUGAAUUCUCUGCAGUUUUAGCUACCUCUAAUCACUAGACUUCACUGCAUAGUAAAACCUGAACAUAAAGUCAUUCCAAAGAACCAAACAUAUGAAAACGUUGUCCGAAAUUACAUGUAUCCUUGAAUGCAGUAAAAAACUUUCAGUACUUUGAAUUGAAGACAAAUGACAAAGAUGUAAACUUUCAAAACACAAUUAUAAAAACCUACAUAGCAAAGUCUUGUGAUUGCUACAAAAAUUAACCACCUUUUUAUGCAUAAGAAACAAAAAAAAAUCAGUGUUUUUUGGGUAUAGAAGUUAAGAUAUAUGAUUCCUGUUAUGCAUGGAUCACUAGGAUUACUGUAUAUGCCGUGGGAUCUUAAGGUGUUGUGGUCGUUGUCCUCGCACCAACAUGAUCUGCACAUCAUGAGUAGUUAGUUGCUUUGAUGUUAUACUGGUCAAGGCCUAGAUCUAGUUACCACGUGGGUCAAACCUUCAAGAAGUAUUUAGAAGUUGCUGAAUAUAAAUGAUAACGCAUGUUAAUCAAAGUCAUUGAUCACAUCUAAUGUGAGACUAGUUGAAUUAAUUUGUAGGCCUCAAGCCAAUUGGCUGGACCGAAACUGUUGGGACAUGGUUUGUUUGUUAAUGACUGCAUCUUGUUACGUUGUUCACAUAAGACAGGAGGUGGUGAGAGAAGUUGUUGGGAGCGGACAGGGGAGAAGUGAAGCACCACUCUCUAUUUGGGCCUCUCCGGUCCUUAUGAUCUCCAUUUGGGCUUAAGAAGAGCCCGAGUCUUUCAAUACACCUGGCCAGCCCCAUAAUUCUGAAUCUUACGAGUUCUGGGCCUAAGACCAGCCCAAGUACAGCCCAACCCAAGUUGUUUAAAUAUAAUAAUUGCAAAAUUGUUCUAUCCCUGUGCCAGCAACUCCUUUCCCCGCCUCGUAAACUAUGCAAGAACUCUCAAAUUGACUUUCUUGGGGAUGCCAUGAAGUUUAAAGGAUGGUUGGGCAGUGUGAAGAUAAGACAAUUCAUGACUUGAUGUUGUGCAAAGUAAAAUCAUGUUUUUAGAAUGAGUAAAAUCUUGUGAUGGAUGAGAAAGAACUAUUCUUAGUUUGUCUGUUUCCUUUUACUCAACCUUUGGCUAUUACUUCUAUUUUUUGUAAAUAAGAAAAUGAAAAUAAUUGGAAUAUUUGAUUUUCUAUGUACUUCCACCCAAAGCUUUAGAUAUAAAUAUUUAUCUGUUCCUUUGAAUAUCUUCUCAAAAUUAUCUUGCGGGAUUUAGGUGACAUUUGAUCCCAUUUUUUGAUUUGAAAUUGGAAUUAAAAUUUUCUAGUGUCAGUAUAUGAAUGGCAAACUCUCUUACUGUCUUUCGUUUAUAAACUUUGGAAUUCCAAUCAAAAUUAAGUAUGAGAACAAUAACAUUAUCUAAGAUUAAUACAUUAGUUAACUUCCUAUAACAUUUUUAUUAUUAUUAAAUUAUAAUUAUUUAUUUCAUAAUUUUGUUAUUUAUUUUAUACUUUAUAUUAUAUGUUAUAUGAUUUAAUAAAAUAAAAAUAUUUCAACCCCUUAUUUAUUAUUUACUAUGUUAAGAAGACUAAAAUUAAUUAGUUAUUGUACUUUAUCAUGAAUGUUAUCAUUAAAGUAUUUUGUUUGAUUGAAUGACCUUAACUAAGAUUUAUAGUCUGAUUUUGGUACAUAAACAAAAAUAUUUUGUCAUUUUAAAAUUAUUUUGUUAAUUCUUUAGAAAUGAGAAUUGAGAUUUAUGCUGUUGCUUGUCUUAACUAAUCAUGCAUCAAGUACCACAUGCAUUCUAACUACGAUCUGGAUGGGUACAACAAAAACAGGCUUCCAUGCCACAUAAAUUGUUACCUAGUUUAAAUUGCUAAUUUACUUUUGACAUGCUAAUGCAACUCAUGUUCAUGUUUUUUUUUUUUUCCCCUCUAAAGAAAAGCUGAUCAUUUGCCAUUACAUCAUUGUCAAGCAACACAAAAUUCCCCCAUCAUGUUGACUUUUACAAAGGUUAGUGCUUGACAAGAACCUUGAAGGGAAACAAGCUUUAUUUUCUGCCGCAAGAGUUCCAAGGAAGAGAAGCAGGCCAGCAAAUCACUCCAUCGAUUGCAGAAUGGCUUGGAAUUAAAGAAGAGUCGUCUGUGUCCACCAUGAUCCAUAUGGUCCAACCCUAUGUGAUUUCUGAGGCCUAAGUGCUCCGAAGCUGCUUAAUGAUCAGCUAAUGGAAUAAAGAGGACAGGGACAGAAAGGGACUUUGGAUUUACGAAAUAGGGGAAUCACCCAAGUAGAAGAAUCAGGAACCAAACUUCAAGUAAUUGGUGGCUCUCCUUGGCUCAUCUAGAUUACGAGAUAAAGAGCAUGAUUCAUGAUCUUUCAUUGCUCUAAAAAGUAUAUUUCCAUAGAUAGCGAGGACGAACAUGAGGAUUUCCUAAGACAUUGCCGGGUGCUCCGGCAGGGGAUGGGGUUUUAUCAGCUUUGACCAGAGAAGAGGACGGGAUAAGGUAUAACUUUUAGAAUCUUUUAUCAGUACCGCUUAUCAUCGUCCCUCACCCAUCUUAAAAACUGCGGUCUUGAUAAUUACAUAACAGUAAUUAUGUUUUUACUAUAUUAUAAAUAAAAGUAGUCUCAUGCAUUUAUUCAUAUAGCAAAUCCUAGUAUUCAUGUAUUGCACUGGUGAUGGUAUUUUAUUUUUUGGUCUAUAAAGAGACAUCAUCCUAAUAGUUAAAAGCACUUUGUUUGCUAUUUAGAAGUCAAGGACUAGUGGUAAUCUUUUAAUGGGAGUGUCCUUUUUUUUUUUUUUUUUUUCUAAAGGUGUUUGGUGACAGAGAGAUAAAAUAAUUGUUAGGGAAAAUGCGCUUGAAGAAAUGCAGAAUCUCUAUAUUUUGUGAUUAAAAAAAAUCUCUUCGGCUAAUAAAGAAAGAAAAUGAUGAUAUGGUGGGAUGGAGCCGAGUUUAGAUCGACCCUCUCACUCUUCUUUUCUACAGGGCCAAGUCUAAAUGAAAGUUUGGUGUCUGUCAUGGAGUGGGAUUAUUCUCAAGUAGCACUAAGUCUUUUUUGGACGCAUUCAAUGAUUUACUGUUCUUACUUUUUCUUGAUGGGGUAAUGAUAUGACAUACGUUCUUUUCCCUGCUUGAUUUAUUAAACAAGCUUCAAAAAUAGGGUAUAAGGAUAUUUCAUCCUUAUGAAUUUAGAUCUGCUAUUCAUUUCUUUAUGUUAUAUAUAUAUAUCCAGUUUUGCAUAAAUAAAACUGUAUCCGUUGAAGUCUCUUGUGACCAGAAGAUGAUAAAAUUUUGAUUACCCAGGAAGUGGCUGGUAACAUAAAUCAAGUUAAUUUUCUUCAAAGACCAUUAAUGCUGCUUUAAAGUGGCCUCUAAAAUGCCAACCCUUAACCUUAACACAACUUGGUCCUGGCUUCUCCAUUUUAAUGGGAUUACAAAUUAGCCACUAGAAAUAAAAUUUUGUAUUAAUCUUUUUUUUUGUUGCUUAAGUACCACCUUGCAAAAAAGGAGUUUCUCUUUUUUAAUUUCUAUCCUCACAAUAUAUAUACAUAUAUACAUACAUAUGUAUAUAUAUGCAAUGUUACCAAAAAAAAAAAAAAAAUCAAAGUAAAUCACACUUGAUUUUCUUCCUUCUGUGGGGAGGAUGAACCUAAUGCUUUUUUAACUAAAGGAAUGACAUGACCAGCCACACUUGCUCCAACCUAAAGAGAGAACCUAGAGACCAAAUCCUACCAGACAAAAGAUCACCACUGCUGACAUCAAACAAGUUGAGAACAGAGAGGAAAGAAGCACAAAGGCCAAGUAACUAAGCUGGCCUUUCUUAAAUGGCUUAGCUGACACCACUUGGACUUGUCUAAUAAUAGCAGAUUCUUGAUUAAUGCAGUUCCUGGUCCUCCUCCGUGAUGCUUACCCUUGCUGAAUGAAAAAGGUUAGCAGCACACACACAAACACACUUCUUUCUUGAUUAGAAAGUGAAUUAUGUAGAUAGAGAUGGAAUGAGCAUACAGGUACAAUUAUGAAGGCUAAGAGGUUUCAUGACCCCCACCUACCCAACACUCAGAUCUUUGUGAGUAUGGUGAACAGGAACUCCAGGUACCAAAGUGCUGAAGAUUGAAUUUUGAAGCAAGAAACAGAAUCAUGGAGCUCAAAAAGUUCAGCAUCAGCAACAUUGGAACAAGCUAAGCAGCAGGAAAAAAGGCAGCGGUGCCUGAGCCUGAAUGGGGAAAUAGAAGAAACAUCCUCAUCACGACAAGUAGGCAUGCACUGGAACAUCUACUACCUUACAUGACAAAAUCCAAGAGAUGGAUGCUGCCUUCAAGGAGAGAACUAAGUUGUUACUGACAUGUUUGAAGAUUUCAGCAGAGUCUUGAGAGAAGUUAAUUCAUAGACAAGAUGGUUUCAGAGGAGAUGUAAGGGUGACAACGCACUCAACUCUGUUAUCAUCAACCAUCUUUUGGACUUUGAACAUCACUGCUGUGUUCAUGUUCCCUCCAUUCCAUUCCUAUGCUGCAACAUUGAGAUCAGAGCUGUCUAUACUUGGCAGUAAUGAAUGUAGAGACUCACAUGUAAAGUAGGGGGAGUGCAUUAAGUUUACUGCUUUGGAAAGAAAACAUAUUGUGGUUGAUACUUGUACAAUCCCAUGUUACAGUAAGAAAGCUUAAAGGGCUUUCUUCUCCUUUGGCACAAGGUCAUGGCAUGCAUGAGAGCCUUUUGGGUUUCCCAUCUUUUACAGCUUGGGUUGGUGCAUGCAUGUCUUCAAAGUAGCUGACAA